GACGAACGCUGGUGGCGUGCUUAACACAUGCAAGUCGAACGGAAAGGCCCUGCUUUUGUGGGGUGCUCGAGUGGCGAACGGGUGAGUAACACGUGAGUAACCUGCCCUUGACUUUGGGAUAACUUCAGGAAACUGGGGCUAAUACCGGAUAGGAGCUCCUGCUGCAUGGUGGGGGUUGGAAAGUUUCGGCGGUUGGGGAUGGACUCGCGGCUUAUCAGCUUGUUGGUGGGGUAGUGGCUUACCAAGGCUUUGACGGGUAGCCGGCCUGAGAGGGUGACCGGCCACAUUGGGACUGAGAUACGGCCCAGACUCCUACGGGAGGCAGCAGUGGGGAAUAUUGCACAAUGGGCGGAAGCCUGAUGCAGCAACGCCGCGUGCGGGAUGACGGCCUUCGGGUUGUAAACCGCUUUCGCCUGUGACGAAGCGUGAGUGACGGUAAUGGGUAAAGAAGCGCCGGCUAACUACGUGCCAGCAGCCGCGGUGAUACGUAGGGUGCGAGCGUUGUCCGGAUUUAUUGGGCGUAAAGGGCUCGUAGGUGGUUGAUCGCGUCGGAAGUGUAAUCUUGGGGCUUAACCCUGAGCGUGCUUUCGAUACGGGUUGACUUGAGGAAGGUAGGGGAGAAUGGAAUUCCUGGUGGAGCGGUGGAAUGCGCAGAUAUCAGGAGGAACACCAGUGGCGAAGGCGGUUCUCUGGGCCUUUCCUGACGCUGAGGAGCGAAAGCGUGGGGAGCGAACAGGCUUAGAUACCCUGGUAGUCCACGCUGUAAACGGUGGGUACUAGGUGUGGGGUCCAUUCCACGGGUUCCGUGCCGUAGCUAACGCUUUAAGUACCCCGCCUGGGGAGUACGGCCGCAAGGCUAAAACUCAAAGGAAUUGACGGGGCCCCGCACAAGCGGCGGAGCAUGCGGAUUAAUUCGAUGCAACGCGUAGAACCUUACCUGGGUUUGACAUGGAUCGGGAGUGCUCAGAGAUGGGUGUGCCUCUUUUGGGGUCGGUUCACAGGUGGUGCAUGCCUGCCGUCAGCUCGUGUCGUGAGAUGUUGGGUUAAGUCCCGCAACGAGCGCAACCCUUGUUCACUGUUGCCAGCACGUUAUGGUGGGGACUCAGUGGAGACCGCCGGGGUCAACUCGGAGGAAGGUGGGGAUGACGUCAAGUCAUCAUGCCCCUUAUGUCCAGGGCUUCACGCAUGCUACAAUGGCUGGUACAGAGAGUGGCGAGCCUGUGAGGGUGAGCGAAUCUCGGAAAGCCGGUCUCAGUUCGGAUUGGGGUCUGCAACUCGACCUCAUGAAGUCGGAGUCGCUAGUAAUCGCAGAUCAGCAACGCUGUGGUGAAUACGUUCCCGAGGCU
Molecule: ribosomal RNA, 1346 nt
Filed under: uncultured bacterium
Lineage: Bacteria
Description: partial 16S ribosomal RNA
Rfam family: Bacterial small subunit ribosomal RNA
Source: RNAcentral